This 970-nucleotide long non-coding RNA is filed under the name Homo sapiens (human). RNAcentral describes it as "HSALNT0404235". Lineage: Eukaryota; Metazoa; Chordata; Mammalia; Primates; Hominidae. The record is from RNAcentral.
UCCCAAAGUGCUGGGGAUCCAAGCUGUGGAACUUUCUUCAGAUUUCCCUGGAGGACUGCAGGUGCACGAGGGUCGUUUCUGGGCCCAGAGUAGGGCAGCUCUCAGAUUGCAGCUCCUGAGAGCCGUGCGCGACCGUCUCCAGCACUCGCGGACCCCCAGAGGGCUGUUUUUUUUUCUCCAUAGCAUUGAUUGAAUAUAUAUCCUUAUACAUUCCAUAUAUAUCUCAGGAAGAAUACACAAGGAAGUGGUACCAGCGGUUGCCUCUGGGGAAAAGUGGGAAGAUUGAGGGUAAAAUUUCCCUUUUCUCGUGUGUAAUUUUUUUUCACUUUCCUAUCUGCAUGGAUUACCUUAAAAAAAUUCAACAUCAGAGAGUACCCAAGUUUGUGGCACAAGCAUGUACUGAGCACCUGCCCUGUGGCAGGCACCGUGAAGUCCCUGGGGUAGAGAGAAUCCAGAGACGGGGUUUCACCAUUUACUUACCUAGACUGUCUCAAACUGCUGGGCUCAAGCGAUGCACCUGCCUUGGGGGAUUCUUAGUAAAUCUACAGGGCUGUGCAACCAUCACCACAAUCCAGUUUUGGAACACUUAAAUCACCUGGAAAAGAUCCCGCCUGUCCAUCUGCAGCCAAUCCUGGCCAUAACUCCCGAAGCCCCAGGCAGAAUGUACCAAGAUUGCAACAUCCUGAGAUAAAGAGGAACAACCCAGGCUCUCUCCACGAUCCUCCUAGAACAGAUGUCCUGCAACACUUGUGAUCAGUUAAGUCAAGUCCUGGCCAGAGUAUAAAACCCAGAGUUGGGGGGUGGUGUGCUUUCUGAGUCCCUCAGCUGCAGUGUGAAGUGGAGCUCGUGCAGAUGAGACUUCCUCUGUCCUAUGCACCUUUCUUGAGGCUUGGGGACCAGCUCACCGUGGAUCCUAGGCUUCUGUUGGCUUUUGCCGCCUUUCUGGGAGUAAUAAAGUUGCUUUGCCUUA